RNAcentral lists this ribosomal RNA (153 nucleotides) under Calamagrostis x acutiflora. Its description in RNAcentral is "partial 18S ribosomal RNA". It matches the Rfam family "Eukaryotic small subunit ribosomal RNA", at positions 1682 to 1831 of the family's 1831-position model. The record is from RNAcentral. Lineage: Eukaryota; Viridiplantae; Streptophyta; Magnoliopsida; Poales; Poaceae.
CUACCGAUUGAAUGGUCCGGUGAAGUGUUCGGAUCGCGGCGACGGGGCGGUUCGCCGCCCCCGACGUCGCGAGAAGUCCAUUGAACCUUAUCAUUUAGAGGAAGGAGAAGUCGUAACAAGGUUUCCGUAGGUGAACCUGCGGAAGGAUCAUUG